Molecule: ribosomal RNA, 113 nt
Filed under: Periophthalmus magnuspinnatus
Lineage: Eukaryota; Metazoa; Chordata; Actinopteri; Gobiiformes; Gobiidae
Source: RNAcentral
UGAUGUGGCUAAACCCUGUUAAUGUCUGAUCUCGUCUCAUCUCACACACUAAACACAGCCAGGCCUGGUUAGUACUUGGAUGGGAGACCGUUGUAUACCAGGUGCCACAGUGG